UGGGGAAUAUUGCACAAUGGGCGCAAGCCUGAUGCAGCCAUGCCGCGGGUGUGAAGAAGGCCUUCGGGUUGUAAAGCACUUUCAGCGGGGAGGAAGGCGUUAAGGUUAAUAACCUUGGCGAUUGACGUUACCCGCAGAAGAAGCACCGGCUAACUCCGUGCCAGCAGCCGCGGUAAUACGGAGGGUGCAAGCGUUAAUCGGAAUUACUGGGCGUAAAGCGCACGCAGGCGGUCUGUCAAGUCGGAUGUGAAAUCCCCGGGCUCAACCUGGGAACUGCAUUCGAAACUGGCAGGCUAGAGGCUUGUAGAGGGGGGUAGAAUUCCAGGUGUAGCGGUGAAAUGCGUAGAGAUCUGGAGGAAUACCGGUGGCGAAGGCGGCCCCCUGGACAAAGGCUGACGCUCAGGUGCGAAAGCGUGGGGAGCAAACAGG
This 429-nucleotide ribosomal RNA is filed under the name Chloroflexota bacterium. RNAcentral describes it as "Chloroflexi bacterium partial 16S ribosomal RNA". It matches the Rfam family "Bacterial small subunit ribosomal RNA", at positions 355 to 776 of the family's 1533-position model. The record is from RNAcentral. Lineage: Bacteria; Bacillati; Chloroflexota.